GAUGAACGCUGGCGGCGUGCCUAACACAUGCAAGUCGAGCGGGGUUUUAAAGAGCUUGCUCUUUAAAACUUAGCGGCGGACGGGUGAGUAACGCGUGAGUACCUGCCCUAUACACAGGGAUAAAUUGAGAAAUCGAUGCUAAUACGUGAUAAGCUAACAUUAGGCAUCUUGAAGUUAGAAAAGCUGAGGCGGUAUAGGAGGGGCUCGCGUUGAUUAGCUAGUUGGUGUGGUAAAAGCAUACCAAGGCGACGAUCAGUAGCCGACCUGAGAGGGUGAUCGGCCACAUUGGAACUGAGACACGGUCCACCUCCUACGGGAUCAGCAGUGGGGAAUAUUGCACAAUGGGGGGAACCCUGAUGCAGCAACGCCGCGUGAAGGAAGACUAUUUCGGGAUGUAACUUCUAUCGACAGUAAUACAUAAAUGCGGUCCUGAAUAAGAAGCACCGGUAAUACGUGC
RNAcentral lists this ribosomal RNA (457 nucleotides) under uncultured bacterium. RNAcentral's name for it is "bacterial SSU rRNA". It matches the Rfam family "Bacterial small subunit ribosomal RNA", at positions 28 to 508 of the family's 1533-position model. The record is from RNAcentral.